AGAAAGAGAAACAGAGUGAGAGAGAGAGAGAGAGAGAGAGAGAGAGAGAGAGACGCUUGACAGAACAAGUGAUUUUAUAUCACGGUGAGAAAUACGUCUGCAUGUAGAACGCAGCUCACUACAGAUCAUGCCAGUAAAGGAUGACAAGAGAAAUAGAAAAAAUGAAAAAUAGAGGGCAGUGAAAGGAAGAAGAAAAAUGUGGAAAGUAAAUGGGAUGAUAUGUGUUAGUGCUGAUGUCUCAGUUUCAGCAGCAGAAGUUCGAGGGGAAACAGUCACGUUCACGUUAAUGAAGGGGCCAGACUGGCAACAUGUGACUCGAUUACAGCGUGGGAGUAAAAAGGGAGAGAAGAACGGAUCAGGACAGGAAUGAGGGGAAACUGGAGGACAGGAACGAAGGAAAGGAAGAGAAAGGUGGAGAUAUAAAGGGGCAGGCGAGAGGUCUCCGCUGGACUGGAAUGGUGAGAGGGUGAAAUUCCGGCACUGCUUCCCUGAAAGACACCAGCACUUCACUUCACACCGGACUCGCUGGGAAGAAGGAGAAAAAACACUUGAAGAGCAACUGAGUGAGUGGAAAACAGGAGGUUUUCAAACAGGUAUCUCGUGUCACGUUACGAUUGUGCAAUUGUUUGCAGACUCAAGAUAGCCAGCGAGGAACAGGUUUAGGGUCAGACGAGAGAGAGAAUGGGUAGAAGAGAAAGGAGAGAAAAGCGAGGAACAGAAAAAAGACAGAAAGGGAAGAGGCCUUCCUCACGGAUGAGAAAAAGCAUCCGACACCCUCCGAAACACACGUGCAGCUGCGUUUGUGAAAUAUCCGCUUUCACCUGAUGGACUGAAGCAUCUCGCCGGUCGUCAGCUGCAGGACGUGCUCGUGCGUUCGCCAUCACACCUGAAAGAUCAAGGUGAACUCAUUUAGCAAUCUCAUAAAGCUCAUGGAACGUGAACUGGACAUGCUAAACUCAAAAUCUGGUAUAAUAAUCUUUCAUGCAGUUUAAGGUAUGUAGAAUAUUUGGGCUCUUUUCAGGCAAAAGAUGUGAAAACUUCAAAGGAAUGGCAACCAGUAACAGCAGCUGAUACAAACAUCUUCCUCAUAUGUUCAUGCACAUGUUCAUCAUCGGCUUCUUCUCAGUUUUCAGCCAGUAUCUGUGAGCAGUGACACCGGCUGCAGCGUCGCCAUUGUGUCGUGUCCUUGUUCUCUGUGUAAUGGCGGGUGACGGCCGAAGCACGCCAGCAGCGGCAGUGAAGGAAAGUGAGAGAGAGAGGCAGCAUGUGGGUGAAGGGUGACGCAUGCUUUUAUGAAUGGGCUGCAGGGACGAGCGCUCUGAUUGGUCAGUUCCACUCCUCUCUGUCUAUAGUGAAAUAUGACACCACAGCUCAACAUACCAUCUUAAAAUGUGACACAACCAUUACCACUGCAGCCUUUAUCAGCAGUUUGUGAAGAUCUGUCAAAGUAAAACAGAGUUGUAAGAUAAGAAAUGUGCAGGACUACUGAGCUGAAACAUCGUCUCAAUCCCUGUGCGUCAAUCAAGGAAACUCACACGACAACAUCGGCACUCGGUCAACAAGAGCAGCUGUCACACACUGACAAAGACACGAAAGGACCUCGAACCCUCUUUACAUUAAGCUGAAACGCUUCCUGUCUGUCCUCAGGUCACAUGCAGGUCAUUAGGGAGGAGGAGAUGAGAGAGGAACAGUGAGGGACGUCCUGCACCAUCUAACUUCACAAGAGUGUGCGAUUGUGUGGCAAAGCAUUUGCUGAUGGACGGCACAGAUGACAGCAGCGUCACGCUCACUGACGUCCAGCCCUCGUCCUGCCAAAUCAUGGAAAACUUGGUGUGUCAUGUAACAUCAUGGAAACAGGAGAUGCUGCGAGUGGAAAAAGAGCCGUCACACGUCAGUCACGUGACCAAAUGAGAGGGACAGCACGAUGAGGUCAAGACGACACAAGCUUCCGUCAUCACUGAUAAUUCAACAUUUAUGAAAUAAUAAAGGUCAUUUGUUUAUA
Molecule: long non-coding RNA, 2002 nt
Organism: Ctenopharyngodon idella (grass carp)
Lineage: Eukaryota; Metazoa; Chordata; Actinopteri; Cypriniformes; Xenocyprididae
Exons: 4
Source: RefSeq, a predicted model, not a curated record